Molecule: transfer RNA, 41 nt
Filed under: Ophidiasteridae sp. 2-EK-2003
Lineage: Eukaryota; Metazoa; Echinodermata; Asteroidea; Valvatida; Ophidiasteridae
Description: tRNA-OTHER
Source: RNAcentral
CUUUGAAGGCUUUUAGUUUAAAUUAACCUAAACCCCCACUC